This 441-nucleotide ribosomal RNA is filed under the name uncultured bacterium. Its description in RNAcentral is "partial 16S ribosomal RNA". It matches the Rfam family "Bacterial small subunit ribosomal RNA", at positions 338 to 795 of the family's 1533-position model. The record is from RNAcentral.
CCUACGGGAGGCAGCAGUGGGGAAUAUUGCACAAUGGGGGAAACCCUGAUGCAGCAACGCCGCGUGAAGGAAGACGGCUUUCGGAUUGUAAACUUCUGUUCUUAGGGAAGAAUAAUGACGGUAGCUAAGGAGCAAGCCACGGCAAACUACGUGCCAGCAGCCGCGGUAAUACGUAGGGGGCAAGGGUAGUCCGGAAUUACUGGGGGGAAAGGGAGGGCAGGCGGGAAGCCAAGUCAGCUGUUAAAACUACGGGCGUAACUUGUAGAGUGCAGUUGAAACUGGUUUACUUGAGUGCAGUAGAGGUUGGUGGAAUUCCGAGUGUAGCGGUGAAAUGCGUAGAUAUUCGGAGGAACACCGGUGGCGAAGGCGGCCAACUGGACUUUAACUGACGCUGAGGCUCGAAAGUGUGGGGAGCAAACAGGAUUAGAUACCCCUGUAGUC